GGUUCGAUCAUGGCUCAGAUUGAACGCUGGCGGGAUGCUUUACACAUACAAGUCCGAACGGCAACCUGGACUUACCGGUCUGGUGGCGAGUGGCGAACGGGUGAGUAAUGUCGGAACGUGCCUAGUAGCGGGAAUAACUACGCGAAAGCGUAGCCUAAUACCACAUACGCCCUUCGGGGGAAAGCGGGGACCUUCGGGCCUCACUAUUAGAGCGGCCGAUAUCGGAUUAGCUAGUUGGUGGGGUAACGGCUCACCAAGGCGACGAUCCGUAGCUGUGGUUUGAGGACGACCAGCCACACUGGGACUGAGACACAUUGGGCUCACGGAGGCAGCAGUGAAAUUUUGGACAAUGGAAACCCUGAUCCAGCCAUCCCGCGUGUGCGAUGAAGGCCUUCGGGUUGUAAAGCACUUUUGGCGGAAAGAAACGGCACGGGAUAGCCACACAAUGCGGCUGACCAAUACCUGCAGAAUGAGCACCGGCUAACUACGUGCCAGCAGCCGCGGUAGUAAUACGUAGGGUGCAAGCGUUAAUCGGAAUUACUGGGCGUAAAGCGUGCGCAGGCAGGUUCAAAGGAAGAAAGAUGUGAAAUCCAGAGCUUAACUUUGGAACUGCAUUUUUAACUACCGAGCUAGAGAGUGUGUCAGAGGGAGGUGGAAUUCCGCGUGUAGCAGUGAAAUUCGUAGAUAUGCAGCGGAGAACUUACCCGAUGGCGAAACCAGCCUCUGGGAUAACACUGACGCUCAUGCACGAAAGCGUGGGGAGCAAACGGGAUUAGAUACCCUGGUAGUCCACGCCUAAACGAUCCAAUCGCUUCGCUGGGGCCUUCGGGCCUUGGUAGCGCAGCUAACGCGUGAAGUUGACCGCCUGAAAUACGAUAGCAAGAUUAAAACUCAAAGGGAAUUAUUGGGGACCCGCACAAGCGGUGCUGGAUGAUGUGGAUUAAUUCGAUGCAACGCGAAAAACCUUUGCUACCCUUGACGUAUCUUGAUCCCGAAGAGAUUUGGGAGUGCUCGCAAGAGAACCGGAACACAGGUGCUGCAUGGCUGUCGUCAGCUCGUGUCGUGAGAUGUUGGGUUGAGAUCCCCGCAACGAGCGCAACCCUUGUCGUGGAUUGCUACGAAAGGGCACUAAUGAGACUGCCGGUGACAAACCGCCGGAGGAAGGUGGGGAUGACGUCAGAAUCUCAUGGCCCUUAUGGGUAGGGCUUCUUUACGUCAUACAAUGGUCAGGACAGAGGGUCGCCAACCCUGUGGGGGGCCAAACCAAAACCCGAUCGUAGUCCGGAUCGCAGUCUGCAACUCGACUGCGUGAAGUCGGAAUCGCUAGUAAUCAUGAGGAUCAGCAUGUCGCGGUGAAUACGUUCAGGGUCUUGUACACCGCCCGUCACACCAUGGAGUGGGUUUUACCAGAAGUAGUUAGCCUAACCGUAAGGAGGGCGAUUACCACGGUAGGAUUCAUGACUGGGGUGAAGUCGUAACAAGGUAG
Molecule: ribosomal RNA, 1486 nt
Filed under: uncultured Bordetella sp.
Lineage: Bacteria; Pseudomonadati; Pseudomonadota; Betaproteobacteria; Burkholderiales; Alcaligenaceae
Description: partial 16S-23S ribosomal RNA intergenic spacer
Rfam family: Bacterial small subunit ribosomal RNA
Source: RNAcentral